UCCACCUCCCCGGACCCAGGUGUCUCAAAAAACAAACAAACAAAAACCACAAAACACUAAAUUCUGUAAUUCUGAUUUUAUGCAAAUACUGUGUAUCAAGGGUCCACAGAAUUACCUAAGCAAUGUUAUAUUUGUUUUCACCUUUUUUACACGGAUAAUUGGUCUUCCCAGCAAUAUUUUAAAUGACUGGAAUAUUAGCACUUCACUUACAUUUUUUUUAUCUGUUAGUCAUUUAUUGUUUUCCCCCUGUAGCUACAGCUCAUGCCCAUCUUUUUUUCCUCAUCUAGUCCUAAUUACAGUGCUAUAAAGGAUGAGAAAAACAGCUGAAAGCUGAAGGAUCUGCCCAACCUGGUCUUCCGCCUCUCCAUCCUGGCUUUUUUGCUGCAUCUGGGCUUUAUUCAUUGGCUGUCCAAUGUUUUUGAGAAACCUCUUCCACAAAGCAACUUUUCUAUCCUGAGAGAGUUUUGAGGUAAGUGGAACAAAGGCAAGUACCCUGCAUUAGUCCCCUUGGGGAUCCCCCAAACAGAUUAAAACCUAUGAACACAAUUUCUCAGGAACAAGAUUCCCUCCAUUCCCUUCUGAUAUAGUUUGGAUAUUUGUUCCCACCCAAAUCUCAUGCUGAAAUGUAAUCCCCAAUGUUGGAGUUGGGGCUGGGUGGGAGGUGUUUGGAUCUUGGGGGCAGAUUCCUCAUGAAUGGCUUGGACCAUCCCCUUGGUGAUGCUCUUGCUCUGGGUUCGCAUGUGAUCUGGUUGUUUGAAAGUGUGUGGCACCUGCCCUCACUCUCUCUCUUUCUCCUGUUCUCACCACGUGACGUGCAUGCUCCUGCUUCGCCUUCGGUGAUGAGUAAACAUUUCCUGAGGCCUCCCCAGAAGCAGAUCCUGGUGCCAUGCUUUCUGUACAGCCUGCAGAACUAUGAGCCAAUUAAACCUCUUUUCUUGUAAAUUACCCAGUCUCAGGUAUUUCUUCACAGCAGCGCAAGAAUGGCCUAACACACCUCCCAAACUGAGAACCUGCACUGAGAGCAUGGGCUGCUGUCUUCUAGACUGCUGCUGCACUGGGCAGGGGGAUUGGACAAGGGUAAGGUAAAACACGACAAACCUCUCCUACCAUGAUUCAGUGCCCAUUAUCCUUAUUAAGCAUUAGCUUGGUUGCUGUAAACCUUUGACUAUCUUCUAGAGUUCUAAUAAAGUUGUUUCUCAUGACUUUUGCCAGUUUUUUCAGUGUUUCUGCAAAGGAAGAGAGUUCCCUACCCUUAGAGUUUCUUACUCCACC
This 1272-nucleotide long non-coding RNA is filed under the name Homo sapiens (human). RNAcentral describes it as "HSALNT0185743". Lineage: Eukaryota; Metazoa; Chordata; Mammalia; Primates; Hominidae. The record is from RNAcentral.